RNAcentral lists this long non-coding RNA (887 nucleotides) under Homo sapiens (human). Its description in RNAcentral is "non-protein coding lnc-C20orf85-3:1". Lineage: Eukaryota; Metazoa; Chordata; Mammalia; Primates; Hominidae. The record is from RNAcentral.
AUAUUUUCUUCCUGUCAAGAGUUAUUUACAUAUGUACAGUAUUUCAGUUAAAAAUAUAACACCAUAAACUAUAUUUUAUAGGAAAUCAUAAGGGAAGGAAAUAUGCAGGUCUAUUAAAGACUUAAGAGCUUCUAAUAAACUACUUUACUUGGAGAGGGUUGGGGGGACUUCAGAUCAUACAGUCUGCCAUGGAGAAAAGAACUUGCUGGCAGACAGCCUGAUGGUUCAGAGGCUCCAGUGCCCAGUUAGCCACCUGGUCUGCAAUCUUUCCACAGACUUACUGAUCAGGCUUGAUCAGGAUGGCCCAGCCAUCCAGAAAAAGCCCCCAUCAGGUUCAGUCCCUUCGGGGUACAGAUGGAAAAGGCGUCAAUCACUGAGUGCACAGUAUGAAAGGUUCCAAAAUCUCCCCCAGCUGGUAUAAUACAAUCAGUUCCCCUUCAAGUUAUGGUAAGCCAUAUGUGCCAAGCAUGAAAUAAUCAGAUUGCAACUCAUCACGGAAGUAGUUAAUUCUGUUUUUCUAGUACAGCAGUGUCUAUGAUAUUCCGCCGCUUUGGUUCUAGGGCUGCAAAAAAGGAAACAUCUUGGUCCCGGUCUGACUGCAAUGCUAAGAUGGUCUCUUCAAUGACUUCAAGAUGAGGGUUACCAGCAUUUCUAAAAUACGCUAAAGAGAGAAACCAUGAGUCUGAAUCAGCAUCUGCCUUAGGGCCUUGGCUAGCAGAACCCUCACGUUGGGCACAGGAUCUGAUGCGAGGCUCAGGAGGCUGGGAAGCAGGUGCUCCAUGAACUGGUCCACGGGGACACACUCCUUGCUCACCACUGCCUGCUCCAAGAAAGUCACAGCCAAAGAAAUGAUGUUUUCCGCAGUCUUCUAGAAACAUACACUUCUU